This 465-nucleotide ribosomal RNA is filed under the name uncultured bacterium. Its description in RNAcentral is "partial 16S ribosomal RNA". It matches the Rfam family "Bacterial small subunit ribosomal RNA", at positions 338 to 795 of the family's 1533-position model. The record is from RNAcentral.
CCUACGGGUGGCAGCAGUAGGGAAUCUUCCACAAUGGGCGAAAGCCUGAUGGAGCAACGCCGCGUGUGUGAAGAAGGUCUUCGGAUCGUAAAACCCUGUCGUUGGAGAAGAAAGUGCGUGAGAGUAACUGUUCACGUUUCGACGGUAUCUAACCAGAAAGCAACGGCUAACUCCGUGCCAGCAGCCGCGGUAAUACGGAGGGGGCAAGCGUUAUCCGGAAUUAUUGGGCGUAAAGGGAACGCAGGCGGUCUGUUAAGUCAGAUGUGAAAGCCUUGGGCUUAACCGGAGUAGUGCAUUGGAGACUGGGAGACUUGAGUGUAGAAGAGGAGAGUAGAAUGCCAGGUGUAGCGGUGAAAUGCGUAGAGAUAUGGAGGAACACCAGUGGCGAAGGCGGCCCCCUGGUCGGUAACUGACGCUGAGGUGCGAAAGCGUGGGUAGCAAACAGGAUUAGAUACCCGUGUAGUC